RNAcentral lists this ribosomal RNA (481 nucleotides) under Erysiphe javanica. Its description in RNAcentral is "eukaryotic LSU rRNA". The stretch from base 186 to 339 matches the Rfam family "5.8S ribosomal RNA". The record is from RNAcentral. Lineage: Eukaryota; Fungi; Ascomycota; Leotiomycetes; Helotiales; Erysiphaceae.
CCUCCACCCGUGUCGACUUGUAUUUUUGUUGCUUUGGCGGACCGGGCUCGCCCAUGGUCGCGUUUCGUGCGUGAGCAUGGCGUGCUGCCCACCGGCUUCGGCUGGGGCGCGUCCGCCAGAGACCUUUACAUCCAAACUCAUUGUUGUCCCCUGUAGUCUAAGGUUUAGAUUGAAGAAUUGAUAAAAACUUUCAACAACGGAUCUCUUGGCUCUGGCAUCGAUGAAGAACGCAGCGAAAUGCGAUAAGUAAUGUGAAUUGCAGAAUCUAGUGAAUCAUCGAAUCUUUGAACGCACAUUGCGCCCCUUGGUAUUCCGAUGGGCAUGCCUGUUCGAGCGUCAUAACAACCCCUUCGAGCUACCAUUUUGUGUGGCUACGGUGUUGGGGCUCGCCGAGUCGGCGGCCCUUAAAGGCAGUGGCGGUACCGAUGUCGGCUUUACGCGUAGUAAAUAGCUCGCGACAGAGCGGCGACGGCGACUAGCC